RNAcentral lists this long non-coding RNA (1440 nucleotides) under Oncorhynchus mykiss (rainbow trout). Its description in RNAcentral is "lncRNA (ENSOMYG00000065642.1)". Lineage: Eukaryota; Metazoa; Chordata; Actinopteri; Salmoniformes; Salmonidae. The record is from RNAcentral.
AUGCCUUCUCCAUUCUCUCUGAGUAUGUUAGCUCUCAGUGGUCUCUCUUGCUCACUGCUGCCAUUACUGCUGCUAUCACUGCUGCUAUUACUGCUGCUAUCACUGCUGCUAUUACUGCUGCUAUCACUGCUGCUAUCACUGCUGUUAUUACUGCUGCUAUCACUGCAAUUAUUGCUGCUAUUACUGAUGCUAUCACUGCUGCUAUCACUGCUGUUAUUACUGCUGCUAUCACUGCAAUUAUUGCUGCUAUUACUGCUGCUAUCACUACUGCUAUUACUGCUGCUAUCACUGCUGCUAUCACUGCUGUUAUUACUGCUGCUAUCACUGCAAUUAUUGCUGCUAUUACUGCUGCUAUUACUGAUGCUAUCACUGCGACCAUUGCUACUAUUACUGCUGCUAUUACUACUGCUAUCACUGCUGCUAUUACUACUGCUAUCACUGCUGCUAUUACUGCUGCUAUUACAGAUGCUAUUACUGCUGCUGUCACUACUGCUAUCACUGCUGCUAUUACUGCUGCUAUCACUGCUGUAUUACUACUGCUAUUACUGCUGCUAUCACUGCGGUAUUACUACUGCUAUCACUGCUGCUAUCACUGCUGCUAUUACUGCUGCUAUCACUACUGCUAUCACUGCUGCUAUUACUGCUGCUAUCACUACUGCUAUCACUGCUGCUAUUACUGCUGCUAUCACUGCUGUAUUACUACUGCUAUUACUGCUGCUAUUACUGCUGCUAUUACAGAUGCUAUUACUGCUGCUGUCACUACUGCUAUCACUGCUGCUAUUACUGCUGCUAUUACUACUGCUAUCACUGCUGCUAUCACUGCUGCUAUCACUGCUGCUAUUACUACUGCUAUCACUGCUGCUAUUACUGCUGCUAUUACUACUGCUAUCACUGCUGCUAUCACUGCUGCUAUCACUGCUGCUGUCACUGCUGCUAUUACUGCUGCUAUCACUGCUGCUAUUACUGCUGCUAUCACUGCUGUAUUACUACUGCUAUUACUGCUGCUAUCACUGCGGUAUUACUACUGCUAUCACUGCUGCUAUCACUGCUGCUAUUACUACUGCUAUCACUGCUGCUAUUACUGCUGCUAUUACUACUGCUAUCACUGCUGCUAUCACUGCUGCUAUUACUGCUGCUAUCACUGCUGCUAUUACUGCUCCUGUCACUGCUGCUAUUACUGUGGCUAUUACUGCUGCUAUCACUGCUGCUAUCACUGCUGAUAUUACUGCUGCUAUCACUGCUGCUAUUACUGCUGCUAUCACUGCUGUUAUCACUGCUGCUUGUGCCGUGUCCAUCCAUAGAGUUACAGUGGAUGUUUGCCUCACCAUAUAUUGCUUUUCAACCUCUCUUAAAGGAAACCCCAAACAUACUUUGAUUUGUGUUUGCUAUGUGGGCCUCAACUCUUGGGAGAAUAUACUUGAGUUUCCCGUGAUAAAGUGA